AUUGAACGCUGGCGGCAUGCCUUACACAUGCAAGUUGAACGGCAGCACGGGUGCUUGCACCUGGUGGCGAGUGGCGAACGGGUGAGUAAUACAUCGGAACGUACCUUAUCGUGGGGGAUAACGCAGCGAAAGCUGUGCUAAUGCCGCAUACGCCCUGAGGGGGAAAGCGGGGGAUCGCAAGACCUCGCGCGAUUAGAGCGGCCGAUGCCUGAUUAGCUUGUUGGUGGGGUAAAAGCCCACCAAGGCGACGAUCAGUAGCUGGUCUGAGAGGACGAUCAGCCACACUGGGACUGAGACACGGCCCAGACUCCUACGGGAGGCAGCAGUGGGGAAUUUUGGACAAUGGGGGCAACCCUGAUCCAGCAAUGCCGCGUGAGUGAAGAAGGCCUUCGGGUUGUAAAGCUCUUUUGUCAGGGAAGAAACACCGGCUCUGACACAGUCCGGGAAUGACGGUACCUGAAGAGUAAGCACCGGCUAACUACGUGCCAGCCGCCGCGGUAA
RNAcentral lists this ribosomal RNA (501 nucleotides) under uncultured bacterium. RNAcentral describes it as "partial 16S ribosomal RNA". It matches the Rfam family "Bacterial small subunit ribosomal RNA", at positions 29 to 523 of the family's 1533-position model. The record is from RNAcentral.